This 496-nucleotide ribosomal RNA is filed under the name uncultured bacterium. RNAcentral describes it as "partial 16S ribosomal RNA". It matches the Rfam family "Bacterial small subunit ribosomal RNA", at positions 28 to 506 of the family's 1533-position model. The record is from RNAcentral.
GAUGAACGCUGGCGGCGUGCCUAAUACAUGCCAGUCGAGCGAACAGACGAGGAGCUUACUCCUCUGACGUUAGCGGCGGACGGGUGAGUAACACGUGGAUAACCUACCUAUAAGACUGGGAUAACUUCGGGAAACCGGAGCUAAUACCGGAUAACAUGUUGAACCGCAUGGUUCAACAGUGAAAGACGGUCUUGCUGUCACUUAUAGAUGGAUCCGCGUCGCAUUAGCUAGUUGGUAAGGUAACGGCUUACCAAGGCAACGAUGCGUAGCCGACCUGAGAGGGUGAUCGGCCACACUGGAACUGAGACACGGUCCAGACUCCUACGGGAGGCAGCAGUAGGGAAUCUUCCGCAAUGGGCGAAAGCCUGACGGAGCAACGCCGCGUGAGUGAAGAAGGUCUUCGGAUCGUAAAACUCUGUUAUUAGGGAAGAACAAAUGUGUAAGUAACUAUGCACGUCUUGACGGUACCUAAUCAGAAAGCCACGGCUAACUACGU